Molecule: transfer RNA, 66 nt
Filed under: Hydropsyche pellucidula
Lineage: Eukaryota; Metazoa; Arthropoda; Insecta; Trichoptera; Hydropsychidae
Description: tRNA-Thr
Source: RNAcentral
GUUUUUAUAAUUUAAUUAAAAAUAUUGAUCUUGUAAAUCAAAUUUAAGUCUAACUCUUUAAAAACU